RNAcentral lists this transfer RNA (70 nucleotides) under Goura victoria (Victoria crowned-pigeon). RNAcentral describes it as "tRNA-Pro". It matches the Rfam family "tRNA". From Rfam's summary of the family: Transfer RNA (tRNA) molecules are approximately 80 nucleotides in length. Lineage: Eukaryota; Metazoa; Chordata; Aves; Columbiformes; Columbidae. The record is from RNAcentral. RNAcentral also lists the same sequence under 1 other name.
CAGAAGAUAGUUUAGUGCAGAGCACCAGCUUUGGGAGCUGGAGGUGAGGGUUUAACUCCCUCUUUUCUGA